CAAAGUACUAUUGUAUUAGGAUGUAAAGUUUAUAACACAUAACUAUAUCGAUUGAGAAUCGUGUCAAGGCAAGUUACCCAGCAGGUGCCCUGAGGCAAGCGAUGGAAACUGAGGAAUGACCGAUGACCGAGCAGAGCAGACACGCAAAUUUGACAGGGCCCUGCAGGGGAGGGAAGAAUAAUGAGUGUGGCUGCAAUCCCAAAAGUCAGAAAUGUGAGAAGCCAUCC
Long non-coding RNA from Gambusia affinis (western mosquitofish), 227 nucleotides. RefSeq lists it as uncharacterized. The transcript has 3 exons. The record is from RefSeq and is a predicted model, not a curated record. NCBI's taxonomy places the organism in Eukaryota, Metazoa, Chordata, Actinopteri, Cyprinodontiformes, Poeciliidae.